Molecule: long non-coding RNA, 1005 nt
Filed under: Oryza brachyantha (malo sina)
Lineage: Eukaryota; Viridiplantae; Streptophyta; Magnoliopsida; Poales; Poaceae
Description: long non-coding RNA (OBRA_LNC001385)
Source: RNAcentral
AGCCAAGUCAGCGUGGGACCCUCUCCCUUCCCCUCUCUCGCACACAGUUUUCUCCUCUAGGCCGGAGGAGGGCGGCGCAAGCCCCAAGCCGGAGACGCUCAUGGAGAAGAUCGCCAACAAGCUCCAGUCGGCAACGGGCCGGGGAGGGGACGGCUCCGUCGUCAGACUCCGACGCGAACGAGCGAAGGCAGCAGCGGCGGCGGCCGCCGAGGCCAAGGUUUUCCGCCUCUUCGGCCGCGAGGAGCUGAUCCACAAGGUCCUCGGAGGAGGCAAACGUAUAGCUUGAUGCUCUGUGCUGAUGCUCUCUUAUCGGUGCAGUUUUUUUUUUCAAAAUAUGAAAAGCUGAUUUGGUUUGAAAUGCUUAGAGCGGGCGGGGAUUUGCUGGAUCUGUUUGGGCUCGUAUUGUUGGGUUUCGGACUAGAUCUAAAGCUUGACUAAUGGGAGUAGGAUUUUAGUCUUUUUUUUACUGUGGGUGAUUGGUUAGGUGUUUGGAUAUCUUUGACAAAUUGAAGCAACUAAGUUGAUCCACACCUUGCUGGCGUCUCAAAUUUCUCCAAUGCAGGUUGCAUUCUUACCAUGUACUUCAAUCUGAUAUGUGCGAUUCAAAUUAUCUGUAUCCGUUUUGAGUAAAUGGUCAUAUUUAGCUUUGGUAUAUCAUAUCAGUGUCUUAGUGCAGCUCGUCGGAGUUCAUCGGCUGGAAGAUAAGAAAGGGGGAACGAAGACGAAGAGGGAGGAGUCAGGGCCGACGAGGCCGCAGUAGAGACGGCAACGGGGACCCGUGACCUGAGACUCGAUAGAUAUUUACUUUAUUAGGGUAUGGGAAUGAGCUAAAUAUAUUAUCCGUGGGUAAGUAAUUGGACAAAUACUUUUACCCGAUGGUACGCGUGUAUAGAAACGUUCUUAUGAUCCCCAUACUCGAUUACCCAUGGAUAAUAAAUACCCGCAAGUUUAAAUACAUGUCAUGGCCUAAUAUCAUAUUAGCCUAGCCUAAUUAACCAAAACCAU